AUACGUAGGUGACAAGCGUUAUCCGGAUUUACUGGGCGUAAAGGGCGUGUAGGCGGUCUUGCAAGUCAGAAGUGAAAUUCCUGAGCUCAACUCGGGCGCUGCUUCUGAAACUGCAGGACUUGAGUGCUGGAGGGGAUAGCGGAAUUCCUAGUGGAGCGGUAAAAUGCGCAGAUAUUAGGAAGAACACCGGUGGCGAAGGCGGCUAUCUGGACAGAACCUGCCGCUGAGGCGCGAAAGCGUGGGGAGCAAACAGGAUUAGAGCCCCUGGUGGUCCACGCCGUAAACGAUGAAUACUAGGUGUAGGGGGUAUCGACUCCCUCUGUGCCGCAGUUAACACAAUAAGUAUUCCGCCUGGGGAGUACGGCCGCAAGGUUGAAACUCAAAGGAAUUGACGGGG
RNAcentral lists this ribosomal RNA (397 nucleotides) under uncultured bacterium. RNAcentral describes it as "partial 16S ribosomal RNA". It matches the Rfam family "Bacterial small subunit ribosomal RNA", at positions 523 to 918 of the family's 1533-position model. The record is from RNAcentral.